This 497-nucleotide ribosomal RNA is filed under the name uncultured bacterium. Its description in RNAcentral is "partial 16S ribosomal RNA". It matches the Rfam family "Bacterial small subunit ribosomal RNA", at positions 28 to 507 of the family's 1533-position model. The record is from RNAcentral.
GAUGAACGCUGGCGGCGUGCCUAAUACAUGCAAGUCGAGCGAACAGAUGAGGAGCUUGCUCCUCUGACGUUAGCGGCGGACGGGUGAGUAACACGUGGAUAACCUACCUAUAAGACUGGGAUAACUUCGGGAAACCGGAGCUAAUACCGGAUAAUAUAUUGAACCGCAUGGUUCAAUAGUGAAAGACGGUUUUGCUGUCACUUAUAGAUGGAUCCGCGCCGCAUUAGCUAGUUGGUAAGGUAACGGCUUACCAAGGCAACGAUGCGUAGCCGACCUGAGAGGCUGAUCGGCCACACUGGAACUGAGACACGGUCCAGACUCCUACGGGAGGCAGCAGUAGGGAAUCUUCCGCAAUGGGCGAAAGCCUGACGGAGCAACGCCGCGUGAGUGAUGAAGGUCUUCGGAUCGUAAAACCCUGUUAUUAGGGAAGAACAAAUGUGUAAGUAACUAUGCACGUCUUGACGGUACCUAAUCAGAAAGCCACGGCUAACUACGUG